RNAcentral lists this long non-coding RNA (265 nucleotides) under Meleagris gallopavo (turkey). RNAcentral describes it as "lncRNA (ENSMGAG00000021244.1)". Lineage: Eukaryota; Metazoa; Chordata; Aves; Galliformes; Phasianidae. The record is from RNAcentral.
CAGCAAUCAGGACGGCAAGCCAGCGGCCGGGGACGACGCGCAGUUCGAGAUGGACAUCUGACCGGGCGCCCGCCGCUCUCCUUCGCCAUUGCCCCGUUUAUUGGAACAGUGCCUGGAAAUGGAGGUGCUGCCUUCUGGGCUCCCAUCCUGGGCCUUCCCUGGGAAGUUUCAGCAGCCACGGCACUGGGAAGGUGCCGGCAUCUCCGUGCAGUGCAAACUCUUGGGUCCAGAUUAGACCCCUCUGGCACCUGGGCUCCCAAUUUCU